This is a long non-coding RNA of Triticum aestivum (bread wheat), 510 nucleotides long. RefSeq lists it as uncharacterized. The transcript is spliced from 2 exons. The record is from RefSeq and is a predicted model, not a curated record. NCBI's taxonomy places the organism in Eukaryota, Viridiplantae, Streptophyta, Magnoliopsida, Poales, Poaceae.
CCCCCCCCCACACCCCACCCCUGCUUCCUACCACACCCCCACCAACUCCAACCCAACACAAGCUAGUGGACUUGCAAGCUCAACAUGCCGCUGCCUAUGUGCAGGGAAAUCCCCGAGGGUUCAAGCUCGGAGGGCGUGCUUUCAGCCAGGAUGGAUUCCAUGGAGAAUCUUUUCAAUGUAGUGUUGGCAGGCAACAAGAAGCUUGAGAAUCAACUGGUGGAAUUGUGAGCAUUUAGCUUGCGGGACGUAACCAAGCAGACGGGGCAGAUAGAAAAUCUCCCGCAGAUGCUCGAGAAGAAUAAUGAACUCAUCACAAAGCUAAUGGAGGACUACGCAGAGUUUCAUAAAGAGAGGCGUUAUGCCGAUGAGAUGCGGGAAGAGAUUGCGCAGAGCCUGUAUAAUUUAAAGCUUACGUGACAGGCUUGGGGGUUGCGACCUGUGCCACCAAACUUUGUAUUAUGCUUGAUUCCUUAUAGCUGUCCAAUUCUAAGUGGAUUCCAGUUAACAUGA